UGAGCAACCUGCCUCUCAGAGGGGAUAACGUUUGGAAACGAACGCUAAUACCGCAUGAAAUAUUGGUAUCGCAUGGUGCUGAUAUCAAAGGAGCAAUCCGCUGAGAGAUGGGCUCGCGUCCGAUUAGAUAGUUGGCGGGGCAACGGCCCACCAAGUCGACGAUCGGUAGCCGGACUGAGAGGUUGAACGGCCACAUUGGGACUGAGACACGGCCCAGACUCCUACGGGAGGCAGCAG
Molecule: ribosomal RNA, 237 nt
Filed under: uncultured bacterium
Lineage: Bacteria
Description: partial 16S ribosomal RNA
Rfam family: Bacterial small subunit ribosomal RNA
Source: RNAcentral